Non-coding RNA from Aegilops tauschii subsp. strangulata, 1132 nucleotides. The record is from RefSeq and is a predicted model, not a curated record. NCBI's taxonomy places the organism in Eukaryota, Viridiplantae, Streptophyta, Magnoliopsida, Poales, Poaceae.
UGCGACUCACUGGAGAAGCUUUAGAUGCCGCUGAAGAGUUCAGGGCACCGAAAGUAAGACUGUACUCACGCUUCCCAUCAAGAUCGGCACGCAAGGACUGCUACCUGCACACCUACUUGACGACUCCAGCAAUUGGUGUACACAAAACAGUGCAGAACGUUUGUUCGUGCGAGUCCGCGGAGUAACCGGAGCCGUGCUAAGGAAGAAAAAGCAGAAACACUGCCUAGUCUCCAGAAGAAGCGUAGCUUGUGGUAUAUCUGAAGCCUGUGAGCCUUGUGAUGUCACUCAGAAAUUGCUGCGAUGAGUACAUCAUUCACAUUCAUACCCUGUGUGCGAUGGAAUAAGCAGACUGCAUCAUCUUCUGAAGAAACGACACUUGUCAUGCUGUUAACUGAAGAAAUCGACACCCAGCUGUUAUCUUCAUCCAACGUAUCUGAAGACUGGAACCAUCGCUAUUUGAGUUACCUUUUACUGUCUACUUGCUCACCUGCCUUACUUUAGCGUUAAAGUUAAGAUUACCUUUCACUGGUUGUAAUGGGUAUAAAACCUUUCCCGGAUCUAUCUGGGAGCCCAGGAGCUCAUCUUCCUAUUAAUUGGGUCUCUGUCCACUCCUUUGCUGCUGCUUUGGCUGGCAGGCAGAUGUAACAUGGAACGGACGUUUACAGAGGGAGUAUUCCAGAAAUCCUAUUCCACGCUCCGAUCAUCGCAAAAAUAAGGCAGUGAAGUCCCAAGGUAUCGUCACCAAAGAGGAGAGGAGAGGAGAUGAGCAUCAUUCACUGCACUCUGCGCCAUCAAGCAGCCGAAGACGCUCUUCUUCUUUGCCAUCAACUGCAUGAUCAUGUUCUUGUGCUCCAGACUCUGUAGCAGCAGUAUUUGUCGAUCGUCGCUGGGAAGAUGACCAGGUUGGUAGUGGUGUAUGGAAUGGGCGCAGAGCAGAAUCAUCCAAUUCCAAUCCACGCUUGCCUUCAGGCCUUCAUGCAGUUGGUAAACCUGUGAUUGUCGUACAGACUCAAGUUUCUGUCUUGAAGUGUAAGUAUAAUCAUGAAAAAAAGGCAAGGAGAAGAUGAUUGGUGUUCACCACAUGCUUAUUAGACAUCUAUGUGUAUAUUAUCAUUGCCAUCAUCUGAUAAAA